AGAGUUUGAUCCUGGCUCAGGAUGAACGCUAGCUACAGGCUUAACACAUGCAAGUCGAGGGGAAACGACAUCGAAAGCUUGCUUUUGAUGGGCGUCGACCGGCGCACGGGUGAGUAACGCGUAUCCAACCUGCCCACCACUUGGGGAUAACCUUGCGAAAGUAAGACUAAUACCCAAUGACGUCUCUAGAAGACAUCUGAAGGAGAUUAAAGAUUUAUCGGUGAUGGAUGGGGAUGCGUCUGAUUAGCUUGUUGGCGGGGUAACGGCCACCAAGGCGACGAUCGGUAGCCGGACUGAGAGGUUGAACGGCCACAUUGGGACUGAGACACGGCCCAGACUCCUACGGGAGGCA
Molecule: ribosomal RNA, 352 nt
Filed under: uncultured bacterium
Lineage: Bacteria
Description: bacterial SSU rRNA
Rfam family: Bacterial small subunit ribosomal RNA
Source: RNAcentral